RNAcentral lists this unclassified non-coding RNA (433 nucleotides) under soil metagenome. Its description in RNAcentral is "partial contains 5.8S ribosomal RNA, internal transcribed spacer 2, and large subunit ribosomal RNA". The stretch from base 1 to 120 matches the Rfam family "5.8S ribosomal RNA", at positions 35 to 154 of the family's 154-position model. The record is from RNAcentral.
GAUGAAGAACGCAGCGAAAUGCGAUACGUAAUGUGAAUUGCAGAAUUCAGUGAAUCAUCGAAUCUUUGAACGCAUAUUGCGCUCUCUGGUAUUCCGGAGAGCAUGCUUGUUUGAGUAUCAGUAAACACCUCAACUUCCAUAUCUUUUUUGAAAUGGGAGUUGGACUUGAGUGAUCCCAACGCUUUUCCUCACCGAAAAGUGGCGGGUUACUUGAAAUGCAGGUGCAGCUGGACUUUUCUCUGAGCUAUAAGCAUAUCUAUUUAGUCUGCCUAAAAAACAGAUUAUUAGCUUUGCUGCAGCUAACAUAAAGGAGAUUAGUUCUUGUGCUGACUGAUGCAGGAUUCACAAAGACAGGCUUCGGCCGACUUUGUAAACUCGAUCUCAAAUCAAGUAAGACUACCCGCUGAACUUAAGCAUAUCAAUAAGCGGAGGA